Molecule: long non-coding RNA, 1247 nt
Filed under: Homo sapiens (human)
Lineage: Eukaryota; Metazoa; Chordata; Mammalia; Primates; Hominidae
Description: HSALNT0062500
Source: RNAcentral
CUUGCAUUCUGAGAAAAAGUCCCACACCAUUAUCAUGGUCUACUGCAUCCUGCACAAUCUGGCUCUUCAUUACACUUCUCCCUCAUCCCCAUCUCCUUCCACCUCACCCACUGGACUCCUUGGUGUUUCAUUAGAUAUUUUUAAUAUUGUCUAUGUGUUGAAUUGAUAACAUUUUAUUUAUAAUGGGUUAUACUAAACAUAUUAAAAUCGACUUUCACUUGUUUGUUUUCUUCUGCCUUGUUAAUGUGGCUGCUAGAAAAUUUAAAAUUAUAUACCGGGUUCACAUUAUAUCUAUGGGCAGCAUUGGUUAUUGAGUCUAUGUUGACUGUGUGUCUUCCCCUAAGUGUCUGGUUGUGGGCUGGGGGCUACUCUUGCACAACAGGGCCAGCAGUCAGGAAGGAGAUUUGAAUGUGGAGCACAGCAGAGUGAGCACGAGCUGAAACCCUCCAAGCAUAUUUUCAUCACUGUAUUGCCUGUGAACAUCUUCAGAGUGUGAUGACUCCUACUUCCUCUGAAUCUCAUUUCUUUUUCUCUGGAAAUGUCUACUGAAUACAGAAAUGAACACACUGAAAUAUUUUCAUGCAUUGCCUCAGAGGAAGGGUGACCGAAGGAGAGCUCGAGAAACGGAAAGAGAAUGAGAACAGAGAGAGAUAAAGAAAAGCAUACAAAAUAUUUAUUGCUGCAUUUCCGUGCCUUCUCCACAAUAUUGAGGCCUGAAUUAGGUAGGUAGUUGAAAUCUCUCUAAAAGUGAGUCAGAUAUUGUGUCCGGAAUUGGUGGGUUCUUGAUCGCACUGACUUCAAGAAUGAAGCCGUGGACCCUCGCGGUGAGUGUUACAGCUCUUAAGGUGGCGCGUCUGGAGUCUGCCCCUUCUGAUGUUCAGAUGUGUUCGGAGUUUCUUUCUUCUGGUGGGUUCGUGGUCUCUCUGGCUCAGGAGUGAAGCUGCAGAUCUUCGCGGUGAGUGUUACAGCUCUUAAGGUAGCGUGUCUGGAGUUGUUCAUUUCUCCCUGUGGGCUCGUGGUCUUGCUGGGCUCAGGAGUGAAGCUGUAGAUCUUCGCAGUAAGUGUUACAGCUCAUAAAAGCAGCAUAGACCCAGAGUGAGCAGUAGCAAGAUUUAUUGCAAAGAGCGAAAGAACAAAGCUUCCACAGUGUGGAAGGGGACCCGAGCGGGUUGCCAAUGCUGGCUCGGGCAGCCUGUUUUUAUUCUUAUCUGGCCCCACCCACAUCCUGCUGAUUGGUAGAGCCGAGU